RNAcentral lists this ribosomal RNA (422 nucleotides) under Psychrobacter sp. ADRIF6. RNAcentral describes it as "bacterial SSU rRNA". It matches the Rfam family "Bacterial small subunit ribosomal RNA", at positions 33 to 453 of the family's 1533-position model. Lineage: Bacteria; Pseudomonadati; Pseudomonadota; Gammaproteobacteria; Moraxellales; Moraxellaceae. The record is from RNAcentral.
ACGCUGGCGGCAGGCUUAACACAUGCAAGUCGAGCGGAAACGAUGAUAGCUUGCUCUCAGGCGUCGAGCGGCGGACGGGUGAGUAAUACUUAGGAAUCUACCUAGUAGUGGGGGAUAGCUCGGGGAAACUCGAAUUAAUACCGCAUACGUCCUACGGGAGAAAGCAGGGGAUCAUUAGACCUUGCGCUAUUAGAUGAGCCUAAGUCGGAUUAGCUAGAUGGUGGGGUAAAGGCCUACCAUGGCGACGAUCUGUAGCUGGUCUGAGAGGAUGAUCAGCCACACCGGGACUGAGACACGGCCCGGACUCCUACGGGAGGCAGCAGUGGGGAAUAUUGGACAAUGGGGGAAACCCUGAUCCAGCCAUGCCGCGUGUGUGAAGAAGGCCUUUUGGUUGUAAAGCACUUUAAGCAGUGAAGAAGACU